This 72-nucleotide transfer RNA is filed under the name Ictidomys tridecemlineatus (thirteen-lined ground squirrel). Its description in RNAcentral is "Spermophilus tridecemlineatus (thirteen-lined ground squirrel) tRNA". It matches the Rfam family "tRNA". Rfam says of the family: Transfer RNA (tRNA) molecules are approximately 80 nucleotides in length. Lineage: Eukaryota; Metazoa; Chordata; Mammalia; Rodentia; Sciuridae. The record is from Rfam by way of RNAcentral.
GGGGUUGUGGCUCAGUGAUAGAGUGCUCACCUAGCAAGGAAGAGGCCCUGGGUUCGAUCCCCAGCAUCACAU